Molecule: ribosomal RNA, 467 nt
Filed under: uncultured bacterium
Lineage: Bacteria
Description: partial 16S ribosomal RNA
Rfam family: Bacterial small subunit ribosomal RNA
Source: RNAcentral
GACGAACGCUGGCGGCGUGCUUAACACAUGCAAGUCGAACGGAAAGGCCCUGCUUUUGUGGGGUGCUCGAGUGGCGAACGGGUGAGUAACACGUGAGUAACCUGCCCUUGACUUUGGGAUAACUUCAGGAAACUGGGGCUAAUACCGGAUAGGAGCUCCUGCUGCAUGGUGGGGGUUGGAAAGUUUCGGCGGUUGGGGAUGGACUCGCGGCUUAUCAGCUUGUUGGUGGGGUAGUGGCUUACCAAGGCUUUGACGGGUAGCCGGCCUGAGAGGGUGACCGGCCACAUUGGGACUGAGAUGCGGCCCAGACUCCUACGGAGGCAGCAGUGGGGAAUAUUGCACAAUGGGCGGAAGCCUGAUGCAGCAACGCCGCGUGCGGGAUGACGGCCUUCGGGUUGUAAACCGCUUUCGCCUGUGACGAAGCGUGAGUGACGGUAAUGGGUAAAGAAGCACCGGCUAACUACGUG